GACGAGCGCUGGCGGCGUGCUUAACACAUGCAAGUCGAACGGAAAGGCCCUGCUUUUGUGGGGUGCUCGAGUGGCGAACGGGUGAGUAACACGUGAGUAACCUGCCCUUGACUUUGGGAUAACUUCAGGAAACUGGGGCUAAUACCGGAUAGGAGCUCCUGCUGCAUGGUGGGGGUUGGAAAGUUUCGGCGGUUGGGGAUGGACUCGCGGCUUAUCAGCUUGUUGGUGGGGUUGUGGCUAACAAAGGCUUUGAAGGGUAGACGGCCUGAGAGGGUGACCGGCCACUUGGGGCGAGAGAGACACCCCAGACCCCCCCGGGGGGGAGGGGGGGGGAAUGUGCCCAGAAGGGCGGAAGCCGGACGGACAAACCCCGGGGGGGGAAGAAAGGCCUUGCGGUGGAAAACCGCUUUCCCCUUGCACGAAGCGUAAGGGCGGGAAAGGGGGAAAAAAACACGGGUAACUUAGGG
This 467-nucleotide ribosomal RNA is filed under the name uncultured bacterium. Its description in RNAcentral is "partial 16S ribosomal RNA". It matches the Rfam family "Bacterial small subunit ribosomal RNA", at positions 28 to 507 of the family's 1533-position model. The record is from RNAcentral.